This 1548-nucleotide ribosomal RNA is filed under the name Triticum aestivum (bread wheat). RNAcentral describes it as "partial small subunit ribosomal RNA". Lineage: Eukaryota; Viridiplantae; Streptophyta; Magnoliopsida; Poales; Poaceae. The record is from RNAcentral.
UGGCAACGAAGGAGAGGGAAAGGUAAAGGAAGGAAGGAACAGUAAAGGAGGUUAGCUUAACCAAGGGGUUUAGAAUCCCAAUCCCAAAGCAGAUAAGGCAUGGAAGGAGGGUAUAAUCGCGCAGACCAGGGACUCGAACGAAACGCGCACCCUACUACCCGUGACGGCACCUGGAUCCUGCCUCCGUCCCGCUGUCGGCGAAGAUGCUGCGACGGUCCCGAGCUGCUCCCGUGGUAGUGCCGGAAGGGUUCAGCUCCACGCGUCGGCGGCGGCAAUGGGUCCUCUUCCGCGGCCUCCUCGGGAGGGUCAACGGUCGCAGGGGGCAUCCUCAACGUCCGUUGGAGUUCUCCAAGCACCGUCGGCAAUGCGACAGGCACGGCCGCCUCAUGGGGAGGCUCUCUCCUCUCACCUCCCCAACGCCGCACCUACGGUUGGCCCUCUCCGGGAUGAAGCAAGAACUGCUGGAUACCCUCCGCAUGUUCCUCACCUCACGCAUACCACGGCCCCACGGCGAGCAAGAACUGCCCACGCUGCCCCAGCACGUCAUGAUACACGGAAUGAACAGGCGGUAGCUCGAGAUACCUCUGAGUAGUCAGGACGUCAGUAGCAGGUUGGGUUCUGUAUACUACCUGCUGUCACUACUUCUAAAGGUACUAAGGUCGUCACUACCAUCGUCACUAAUACUUGUACGUUCCCAGUUUGUGAAACGAGUCCUUCCGAAGAGUUCCCUACAACCACUUAGACCUCAAUGAGUACCGGCGAACGAGAAAGUCAUGGAGCUCAAACUAAGAGGCAAAACGGCACUUGGAAACUGACUAUUCUAAAGAUCGGAAAGUCGGUCUAAAAGUCCUAACUCCUGGGAAUCCUCAACACUAAAUAGUCGCGCAUCAACCUACUCGUAGCGAACCAUGGGUUAAAUAGCAUAGGGAUGACCUGGUUGUAAUUUUCUAAAUCUACGGACGAAAGAGUGAAAGGUAGUCGAAAGUUUAACGGGCGUUCCUCUAUUAGACACCCGAGGACUAUUAGACACCCGAGGACUAUCGUGUGGUUUGUAUGGUGAGGGUCAAAAACCAAACCGAAGGAUGUUCAAAUCGUUGAGUCAGACCAGGAGUUGACUACCACUAACCUUUGACCGAUCGACGAAUUCUCGAGUACUUUCUUACAGGCUUCUCACAGAACACUUGUACUAAUUCAAGGUUCACUGACUGACCAACUGACGAAGGUUUAGACUACGUACAAUGGUGUUCUAAACUUCGAACCUACGUAUGUAGGUUGGCUACGACCUUUUUCUCCGGCGCCGUCAAAGAUAAUUUAACACUAAGUUUAAAAUAACAUAACCUGAUCUGCAUCAUGUAUGCCACACCCGGAAACGCAACCAUGGCUGCACAUACUAAUAUUGAACAAAUGAACAGGAAGUUCCUGAAAAUACAUAACGGGAGUAUACAUGGGGUAUAUCAGCGUGCAUUUCUGCUACACAGCAGAGCACGAACAUUAUGAUUAUCAUUAACACGGAUGCACACAAGCACAAAAAGAGGGUAUUCCCAAAAA